UACGUAGGGUGCGAGCGUUAAUCGGAUUUACUGGGCGUAAAGCGUGCGCAGGCGGCCCGUUAAGACAGGUGUGAAAUCCCUGGGCUCAACCUAGGAAUUGCGCUUGUGACUGGCGGGCUCGAGUACGGUAGAGGGGGGUGGAAUUCCUGGUGUAGCAGUGAAAUGCGUAGAGAUCAGGAGGAACACCGAUGGCGAAGGCAGCCCCCUAGGCCUGUACUGACGCUCAUGCACGAAAGCGUGGGGAGCAAACAGG
Molecule: ribosomal RNA, 253 nt
Filed under: uncultured microorganism
Description: partial 16S ribosomal RNA
Rfam family: Bacterial small subunit ribosomal RNA
Source: RNAcentral